This is a long non-coding RNA of Taeniopygia guttata (zebra finch), 278 nucleotides long. RefSeq lists it as uncharacterized. The record is from RefSeq and is a predicted model, not a curated record. NCBI's taxonomy places the organism in Eukaryota, Metazoa, Chordata, Aves, Passeriformes, Estrildidae.
UCUCUGUCAUAAUCCUUUAUAGUUUCCUCUUCUACAAAUUUACUGAGAGAUUGCUUCAGGUCUAUGACAACAAGAAGAAAAUGAUUUAUCAACAGAACACAUCAGUAAUCACCCAGGAAACCUAGCAAGCUGUAAGAUACUUGUGAACAAGGAUACACGAGAUUAAUUUAAGAAAUCAAUUCAUACCAUUUUCUAUAAAGCAUGGCAGGUUGUGCAGAACCAUCAGACGUCCAUGCAAAUGACUGAUAUUCUCUUGUACAGGGAAUUUGAGAGGCACG